GAUGAACGCUAGCGGGAGGCCUAACACAUGCAAGCCGAGCGGGAUUUAGUAGUUAGCUUGCUAACUACUGAUGAGAGCGGCGUACGGGUGCGGAACACGUGUGCAACCUGCCUUUAUCUGGGAGAUAGCCUUUCGAAAGGAAGAUUAAUAUCCCAUAAUAUAUUGAUUGGCAUCGAUUAAUAUUGAAAGCUCCGGCGGAUAAAGAUGGGCACGCGCAAGAUUAGAUAGUUGGUGAGGUAACGGCUCACCAAGUCAAUGAUCUUUAGGGGGCCUGAGAGGGUGAUCCCCCACACUGGUACUGAGACACGGACCAG
RNAcentral lists this ribosomal RNA (314 nucleotides) under uncultured Riemerella sp. RNAcentral describes it as "bacterial SSU rRNA". It matches the Rfam family "Bacterial small subunit ribosomal RNA", at positions 28 to 334 of the family's 1533-position model. The record is from RNAcentral. Lineage: Bacteria; Pseudomonadati; Bacteroidota; Flavobacteriia; Flavobacteriales; Weeksellaceae.